GUGGACACAGUCCAUGAUGGAGAUGGGAUCGAGCAACCUGGCUUGACUCCCACAUUUGCCCAACCAUAAGACAGCAGGCAUACCCCAAAGCAUAGGAGUGAGAUGGAUCACAAGCUCUCAGAGAUAGGUGGAGAUCGAAUAUCGAGUCUAGAUGAAGAUUGUUAGAAAAUACACCUCUAGAUUCAGUCUAUAUUAAUCCCACAGUGAGGUCCAAAAUGACAAACGAAGUCCAACGAGCCUAAGAACAGUCCAAACGGAGUUCAAAUGGAGAAAAUACGUAUGAAAGA
Molecule: long non-coding RNA, 287 nt
Filed under: Elaeis guineensis (African oil palm)
Lineage: Eukaryota; Viridiplantae; Streptophyta; Magnoliopsida; Arecales; Arecaceae
Description: long non-coding RNA (EGUI_LNC012602)
Source: RNAcentral